This 450-nucleotide ribosomal RNA is filed under the name uncultured bacterium. RNAcentral's name for it is "bacterial SSU rRNA". It matches the Rfam family "Bacterial small subunit ribosomal RNA", at positions 354 to 796 of the family's 1533-position model. The record is from RNAcentral.
GUGGGGAAUUUUGGACAAUGGGCGAAAGCCUGAUCCAGCCAUGCCGCGUGCAGGAUGAAGGCCUUCGGGUUGUAAACUGCUUUUGUACGGAACGAAAAGACUCCUUCUAAUAAAGGGGGUCCAUGACGGUACCGUAAGAAUAAGCACCGGCUAACUACGUGCCAGCAGCCGCGGUAAUACGUAGGGUGCAAGCGUUAAUCGGAAUUACUGGGCGUAAAGCGUGCGCAGGCGGUUAUAUAAGACAGAUGUGAAAUCCCCGAGCUCAACCUGGGAACUGCAUUUGUGACUGUAUAGCUAGAGUACGGUAGAGGGGGAUGGAAUUCCGCGUGUAGCAGUGAAAUGCGUAGAUAUGCGGAGGAACACCGAUGGCGAAGGCAAUCCCCUGGACCUGUACUGACGCUCAUGCACGAAAGCGUGGGGAGCAAACAGGAUUAGAUACCCUAGUAGUCC